RNAcentral lists this ribosomal RNA (477 nucleotides) under uncultured Acidovorax sp. Its description in RNAcentral is "bacterial SSU rRNA". It matches the Rfam family "Bacterial small subunit ribosomal RNA", at positions 900 to 1382 of the family's 1533-position model. The record is from RNAcentral. Lineage: Bacteria; Pseudomonadati; Pseudomonadota; Betaproteobacteria; Burkholderiales; Comamonadaceae.
CUUAAAUGAAUUGACGGGACCGCACAAGCGGUGGAUGAUGUGGUUAAUUCGAUGCAACGCGAAAACCUUACCCACCUUGACAUGUACGGAAUCCUUUAGAGAUAGAGGAGUGCUCGAAAGAGAACCGUAACACAGGUGCUGCAUGGCUGUCGUCAGCUCGUGUCGUGAGAUGUUGGGUUAAGUCCCGCAACGAGCGCAACCCUUGUCAUUAGUUGCUACAUUCAGUUGGGCACUCUAAUGAGACUGCCGGUGACAAACCGGAGGAAGGUGGGGAUGACGUCAAGUCCUCAUGGCCCUUAUAGGUGGGGCUACACACGUCAUACAAUGGAUGGUACAAAGGGUCGCCAACCCGCGAGGGGGAGCCAAUCCCAUAAAGCCAUUCGUAGUCCGGAUCGCAGUCUGCAACUCGACUGCGUGAAGUCGGAAUCGCUAGUAAUCGUGGAUCAGAAUGUCACGGUGAAUACGUUCCCGGGUCUU